UACGUAGGGGGCAAGCGUUGUCCGGAAUCAUUGGGCGUAAAGCGCGUGUAGGCGGCUCGAUAAGUCUGCUGUGAAAGUCCAGGGCUCAACCCUGGGAUGCCGGUGGAUACUGUCGAGCUCGAGUCCGGAAGAGGCGAGUGGAAUUCCUGGUGUAGCGGUGAAAUGCGCAGAUAUCGGGAGGAACACCAAUUGCGAAGGCAGCUCGCUGGAACGUAACUGACGCUGAGACGCGAAAGCGUGGGGAGCAAACAGGG
This 254-nucleotide ribosomal RNA is filed under the name uncultured bacterium. RNAcentral's name for it is "partial 16S ribosomal RNA". It matches the Rfam family "Bacterial small subunit ribosomal RNA", at positions 524 to 777 of the family's 1533-position model. The record is from RNAcentral.